RNAcentral lists this ribosomal RNA (497 nucleotides) under uncultured bacterium. RNAcentral's name for it is "partial 16S ribosomal RNA". It matches the Rfam family "Bacterial small subunit ribosomal RNA", at positions 28 to 507 of the family's 1533-position model. The record is from RNAcentral.
GACGAACGCUGGCGGCGUGCCUAAUACAUGCAAGUUGAGCGCUGAAGGUUGGUACUUGUACCAACUGGAUGAGCAGCGAACGGGUGAGUAACGCGUGGGGAAUCUGCCUUUGAGCGGGGGACAACAUUUGGAAACGAAUGCUAAUACCGCAUAAAAACUUUAAACACAAGGUUUAUGUUUGAAAGAUGCAAUUGCAUCACUCAAAGAUGAUCCCGCGUUGUAUUAGCUAGUUGGUGAGGUAAAGGCUCACCAAGGCGAUGAUACAUAGCCGACCUGAGAGGGUGAUCGGCCACAUUGGGACUGAGACACGGCCCAAACUCCUACGGGAGGCAGCAGUAGGGAAUCUUCGGCAAUGGACGAAAGUCUGACCGAGCAACGCCGCGUGAGUGAAGAAGGUUUUCGGAUCGUAAAACUCUGUUGGUAGAGAAGAACGUUGGUGAGAGUGGAAAGCUCAUCAAGUGACGGUAACUACCCAGAAAGGGACGGCUAACUACGUG